Molecule: ribosomal RNA, 501 nt
Filed under: uncultured bacterium
Lineage: Bacteria
Description: partial 16S ribosomal RNA
Rfam family: Bacterial small subunit ribosomal RNA
Source: RNAcentral
AAUGAACGCUGGCGGCAGGCCUAACACAUGCAAGUCGAGCGGUAGCACAGAGAGCUUGCUCCCGGGUGACGAGCGGCGGACGGGUGAGUAAUGCCUGGGAAACUGCCUGAUGGAGGGGGAUAACUACUGGAGACGGUAGCUAAUAUCGCAUAACGACGCACGACCAAAGUGGGGGACAUUCGGGGCUCAUGCGAACAGAUGUGCCCGGUUGGGAGUAGCUAGUAGGGGGGGUAACGGCGCACCUAGGCGACGAGACCCAGCUGGUCUGGGAGGAUGAGCAGCCACACUGGAACGGGGACACGGUCCAGACUCCUACGGGAGGCAGGAGUGGGGAGUGUUGCACAAUGGGCGCAGGCCUGAUGCAGCCAUGCCGCGUGUGGGAAGAAGGCCUGCGGGUUGUAUACCACUGUCAGUGUGGAGGAAAUAUAGUGGGGUUCUCCCCAUUAUUUGACCUAUGCGCAGAGGAAGGACGGGCUAAGUUCGUGCCAGCAGCCGCGGUAA